UACGGAGGGUGCAAGCGUUAUCCGGAUUCACUGGGUUUAAAGGGUGCGUAGGUGGGUUGGUAAGUCAGUGGUGAAAUCUCCGUGCUUAACAUGGAAACUGCCAUUGAUACUACUGAUCUUGAAUUUUCUGGAGGUAAGCGGAAUAUGUCAUGUAGCGGUGAAAUGCUUAGAUAUGACAUAGAACACCAAUUGCGAAGGCAGCUUGCUACAGGGAUAUUGACACUGAGGCACGAAAGCGUGGGGAUCAAACAGG
This 253-nucleotide ribosomal RNA is filed under the name uncultured bacterium. RNAcentral describes it as "partial 16S ribosomal RNA". It matches the Rfam family "Bacterial small subunit ribosomal RNA", at positions 524 to 776 of the family's 1533-position model. The record is from RNAcentral.